RNAcentral lists this ribosomal RNA (253 nucleotides) under uncultured bacterium. RNAcentral describes it as "partial 16S ribosomal RNA". It matches the Rfam family "Bacterial small subunit ribosomal RNA", at positions 524 to 776 of the family's 1533-position model. The record is from RNAcentral.
UACGUAGGGAGCAAGCGUUGUCCGGAAUCAUUGGGCGUAAAGCGCGCGUAGGUGGCCCCAUAAGUCCGCUGUGAAAGUCAAAGGCUCAACCUUUGAAAGCCGGUGGAUACUGUGGGACUAGAGUACGGAAGAGGCGAGUGGAAUUCCUGGUGUAGCGGUGGAAUGCGCAGAUAGUCAGAGGAACACCAAUAGCGAAGGCAGCUCGCUGGGACGUUACUGACACUGAGGCGCGAAAGCGUGGGGAGCGAACAGG